Thalassophryne amazonica is the source of this 114-nucleotide small nucleolar RNA. RefSeq annotates it as small nucleolar RNA SNORD89. NCBI's taxonomy places the organism in Eukaryota, Metazoa, Chordata, Actinopteri, Batrachoidiformes, Batrachoididae. The record is from RefSeq and is a predicted model, not a curated record. The transcript has a single exon.
UCUGGGAAAUGAUGUUAACAAAAGGCCGAAUUAUAGCGCCCCUGUCAGGCAGUGUGUUCUCAGCACGGGGGCGUAGUGACAAAAAACAGACUGAAGCGUUAAUCUGAUCCCAGG